Molecule: long non-coding RNA, 377 nt
Organism: Oncorhynchus keta (chum salmon)
Lineage: Eukaryota; Metazoa; Chordata; Actinopteri; Salmoniformes; Salmonidae
Exons: 3
Source: RefSeq, a predicted model, not a curated record
UUGAAUAUGAACCCCAAGGGAGAUAUCAUCCAGGGGGUUGAAUAUGAACCCCAAGGGAGAUAUCAUCCAGGGGGUGGAAUAUGAACCCCAAGGGAGAUAUCAUCCAGAGGGUUGAAUAUGAACCCCAAGGGAGAUAUCAUCCAGGGGGUUGAAUAUGAACCCCAAGGGAGAUAUCAUCCAGGGGGUUGGUAGACAUCAUCCAGAGGGUUGAAUAUGAACCCCAAGGGAGAUAUCAUCCAGGGGGUUGGUAGACAUCAUCCAGAGGGUUGAAUAUGAACCCCAAGGGAGAUAUCAUCCAGGGGGUUGGUAGACAUCAUCCAGGGGGUUGAAUAUGAACCCCAAGGGAGAUAUCAUCCAGGGGGUUGAAUAUGAACCCC